Molecule: non-coding RNA, 84 nt
Filed under: unclassified sequences
Description: c-di-GMP sequence
Rfam family: Cyclic di-GMP-II riboswitch aptamer
Source: Rfam by way of RNAcentral
UCAUCGGCGGGAAGCGAAGAAGCUCGUCCUGUACCCGGGCACCUGGGACGAGCGGAGCCAGUGGUGCGACCGACCCGAAGCACG